This 372-nucleotide ribosomal RNA is filed under the name uncultured bacterium. Its description in RNAcentral is "bacterial SSU rRNA". It matches the Rfam family "Bacterial small subunit ribosomal RNA", at positions 790 to 1167 of the family's 1533-position model. The record is from RNAcentral.
GUAGUCCACGCCGUAAACGAUGGAUACUAGCUGUUGGAUUGCAAGAUUCAGUGGCUAAGCGAAAGUGAUAAGUAUCCCACCUGGGGAGUACGAACGCAAGUUUGAAACUCAAAGGAAUUGACGGGGGCCCGCACAAGCGGUGGAGCAUGUGGUUUAAUUCGAUGAUACGCGAGGAACCUUACCAAGGCUUAAAUGUAGAUUGACAGCAGUGGAAACAUUGCCUUCUUCGGACAAUUUACAAGGUGCUGCAUGGUUGUCGUCAGCUCGUGCCGUGAGGUGUCAGGUUAAGUCCUAUAACGAGCGCAACCCCUGUUGUUAGUUGCCAGCGAGUCAUGUCGGGAACUCUAACAAGACUGCCAGUGCAAACUGUGA